This 70-nucleotide transfer RNA is filed under the name Pternoscirta caliginosa. RNAcentral's name for it is "tRNA-Met". Lineage: Eukaryota; Metazoa; Arthropoda; Insecta; Orthoptera; Acrididae. The record is from RNAcentral.
AAAAAGGUAAGCUAAUUAAAGCUAAUGGGCUCAUACCCCACUUAUAAAGGUAUUAAUCUUCCCCUUUUUA